RNAcentral lists this ribosomal RNA (253 nucleotides) under uncultured bacterium. Its description in RNAcentral is "partial 16S ribosomal RNA". It matches the Rfam family "Bacterial small subunit ribosomal RNA", at positions 524 to 776 of the family's 1533-position model. The record is from RNAcentral.
UACGUAGGGGGCGAGCGUUAUCCGGAUUUACUGGGUGUAAAGGGAGCGUAGACGGCUGGUCAAGUCUGAAGUGAAAGCCCGGGGCUUAACCCCGGAACGGCUUUGGAAACUGAGCAGCUAGAGUGCUGGAGAGGUAAGCGGAAUUCCUAGUGUAGCGGUGAAAUGCGUAGAUAUUAGGAGGAACACCAGUGGCGAAGGCGGCUUACUGGACAGUAACUGACGUUGAGGCUCGAAAGCGUGGGGAGCAAACAGG